RNAcentral lists this ribosomal RNA (387 nucleotides) under uncultured bacterium. Its description in RNAcentral is "partial 16S ribosomal RNA". It matches the Rfam family "Bacterial small subunit ribosomal RNA", at positions 30 to 417 of the family's 1533-position model. The record is from RNAcentral.
AUUGAACGCUGGCGGCAUGCCUAACACAUGCAAGUCGAACGGUAACAGGCCCUUCAGGGUGCUGACGAGUGGCGGAUGGGUGAGUAAUACUUAGGAAUCUACCCUGUAGUGGGGGACAACCCGGGGAAACUCGGGCUAAUACCGCAUACGCUCUACGGAGGAAAGCGGGGGACCGCAAGGCCUCGCGCUAUUGGAUGAGCCUAAGCCCGAUUAGCUAGUUGGUGGGGUAAUAGCCACCAAGGCAAUGAUCGGUAGCUGGUCUGAGAGGACGACCAGCCACACGGGAACUGAGACACGGGUCCCGACUCCUACGGGAGGCAGCAGUGGGGAAUCUUCCACAAUGGACGAAAGUCUGAUGGAGCAACACCGCGUGCAGGAUGACGGCCU